This is a long non-coding RNA of Dromaius novaehollandiae (emu), 4039 nucleotides long. RefSeq lists it as uncharacterized. The record is from RefSeq and is a predicted model, not a curated record. The transcript is spliced from 4 exons. Lineage: Eukaryota; Metazoa; Chordata; Aves; Casuariiformes; Dromaiidae.
AUUGCCUCCUCCUCCUCCCUCCCCAUUGGGGGAGGACGGCGCCGCUGCCACAGAGAGCGAGACAUCCCGCGGCCAGAGAGGACGCGCCGGCAGCACCGUCGCCCGCCUCGUCUCGCCUCCUCCCGCGUUGUCAUGGCGCCCGCGGGAUGCCGGAAGCGCCGGCCGCGGCUGCCCGGGCCAACCGCCGCCUCGGGUCUCGCCGCCAUCUUCCGCCCUUCAUCGCCGCCAGCUUCCCUUCGGCUCCAGUCCCCCAAGGGCCUGCCUCUCAGCUAAUAGCUUUUCUUUCUCCUAUGAUGGGCGUAUCUGAAAUACCUAAACCCAGCAGCAGGGACAGCCCUUGUCUCACUGCGUCCCUGCGUCCAUGACCAGAGCCCGGGACGCGAUCCCGUCACCCAGCACCGACUGCAGAGCCCGGGACGCGAUCCCGUCACCCAGCACCACUGCCAAGCCCGGGACACAGCACUGCUGAAAAGUUGCUUGAGCUACUGAGCAGGCCUGGCUGUUGUUGUAACAAGUGGACAAUUUCACUUUUCUUCCUUCACGUAAACAAUUCCACACACCGAAGCGUAGCCUGCUACGAAUUCCCAAGAACUUUUAGAUGUGAGGCAGAGAGGUGCUACGGCUCGGAUGGUGCAAGAUCAGGACACGGCCAGAGCUUCCUGCUCCAUGUCACACACAGUAUUUGCAAUAACAGUGAUGGUAACAACAACAUCUGCCGGGUACAAGUCAUCAAUUAAAUAUCUCACUGGAAAGUUAAUCAUACAAAGAAAGCAGCCAAAUAUGUGCAUCAGUCCACCAAAAAGGCCAUCUACCUGUAGUGUGCUUGGAUGUUACUCUACUGUUAAAUUUGUGCUUCCCGUUUGCAUACCUCAAAGUGCUUUGCAACGCAGCUCAGUAGCAUCAUCUCCACUGUGCAGAAACAGAGACAAGAAGAGAAAAAGAAUGUUUUCCUUGCUGAAAUGUGUUCCUAGCUCUAUUGUUCUAUAAGAAAUAGAAAUUUAUGGAAAAUAUUAAUAAGAGGAUCAUUAUUGGUAAUUUAGAUUACUGUUCCUCCUUCUAGAAGAGAACUUCCAUUCACCAAAGCAUGUUGACUCUUAGAUUCUGUGUUUUUCAUUCUCAAAGGUAGUCAGGAUUAGUAGACUUCCAGAAUCAACAACAUCAUAAAAUCAUUUAGUUUUGGCUUUCUUCUUCCCUUAUGCUUCCAACAGCUUGGAAAACUUUAAAUAAAAGGCUACCAAUGUCUCUACCUGAAAAAGCACAAACUCAAAAAACCCCAGCAAAAUUCAACACACUGAGGAAAGUCAGUUAACAUUCCAUUUUCUGUAUGAUCUAAAAUACUGUGUAAAAUGUCACCCCUAAGAGUAAACCUCAUUUGGUAUGAAACUUUUUGCCUGAGAGUACAUCUCUCCAGUAGUUCAGAACUAUGCAGUCAGGCUGACAGAGAAAAUGUCAUAAAUACCUCUACUAAUUAAAAGCUGAAAACCAUGAACUCAAGACUCACAAGUUCUUGGCAGCUCAAAUAUUAGUCCAGCAAUAACUCAGUAUCAAAAGCUAAUGAUGCAGUUUACCCAGAAAUAUUUAAAUGAUAUAAUGACUUCAGUGCACACCCGAACAGAUGAUAAACGUAUGGGAUACCAUCAAACAUUUUAGACAUAACAUCUUUGAAGUUAAUUGAAACAAAUCUGUGUGUUUCAGGUGUGCUUCCUAGAUAAUCUGCAGAGCCCUAGCACAGUUUUCUGCCUUUGUAGUGGAUCUAAGAACUAUUCGUGUGUCAGGUUAGGAAAAGCAGAGCAGCCCAGUCAAUUGGGCUCUGCCAGGACAGGCACAUACAUCCUUGUCUUCCCAGCAGUCAGGUCAAACUUACCUCAGAUUCAGCAUCAGAAUAGUGUAGAUACAGGGCAUCGAACUCCUAACAGAGAGGAGAGAAAAGGUAAUUACACUUGUGUUAAUUCUUUCUUUAGUCCUUGAUCACUGUACUGGGGAAAUGGCAUGGGAAUGCAGUCAAGGAAUGUUCUUUCCAAUUAGGCCACCCAUCAUUCCUGUCAUUUUUAGUUCGUGCUCUUCUUUAUUUCUCCUGUUUUUUUCUCUCACUUUUCUCUGUCUUUGUAUCUCUUCUCCUUCCAUCUCCAUGCAUUUUACCCACCACAGUGUCAUAGACAUUUCAUUUCCUGGUUUCUUUUCCAUGUUAAUAUAAGCCAUGAAGAAAUUAAGUCUUACCUUUUGAGUAUCAUUUGUCUUUAGAUCUCUCCUCUGAGAGUAAUCAUAACGGUCUCAUAGCAAUUGUUUCAGGCUGUUACAAACUUAGCAGACAACAGUGGUUUAUUCUGAACUCUUACCUGGAAAAUUACCUUUGUCACACUGAAGGCUAGAAAUGUUGAAGCAGGUCUGAUAUCAGUGGGCACAUCUUUAUUGGUAAUUGGAUUCAGAUAAGACAAGGACGUUUCUGUUAUUCCGAUUCCUUUCCAAAUGCAGAACCUAUCAACUGCGUACAGGUGGUCAAACACACAACCUCGAUUCUCCACGGGAGAAAGUGAACCAUAUGGGAACCAAACGACGAAUGCUGUCCACAGGGUUCAGCGAGCUGUAAGGCACAGGCCUAGGCACUCACGGUCGGUGAACUAGCACACAGCGCUCUUCCCAGGGAUCACCUAUGCGCAUGGCUUCUUUCAAGCUGCUUUACUAUGCUGGAACACUAAGGGGACACUUCCCAAAUUAAGUAUAAAUUCCUUGGUAUCGAGUGACUGAAUAAUUUUCUGCAGGAUCCUAGGUGCCCCCAGGAAUGCCUAUGUUUUUAUAAGAUAUUGAACAUGAAAAAUCUGUGGCAAAAGAAAAAAAACCAGUCUGGAUUCAUAAGGAUUAGUCAGGAGUUAUAAGAAGGAAAAACAAAAAAAGCAAGAGAAAGCGUAUACAGAGUGAGUUACUACUGCUUGCCAUGUCUUCAGCAGUCAGGCACUGUGAAAACUGUAGGUAAAAUCCAGUAAGUUGAACUAUCCUAACUAGUAGUUUGCUAUUCCAUUUUACAGUCUCCAUCAGGUAAGAAAUUACAGAUUCUUUUUAAAGAACAUAUAUAACAAGAGUUACAUUACGGUACAAAUUGUGUAAUUUUCAACUGUUAUCAAGUGCUAGUUAUUUCUUAGAAAAGUUGUCUCAUGUUUUGUACAUUAAGAGUCUCAUUUUUUACAAGAAAAACAUUCAGAAAAUAGAAAAGAGUAGGGAGAAUCACAGGAUCUAUUCUAUUUCAGACUACUAUGCAGUGGAGUAUCUCACUUUGAGUUGAUUUAUUUUCCCCCCAGUGGGUCGUAUGUGCUGAUCCGAACAUUUUGUUUGGGCUUGCGGGUUCCCUCCCCUCCGCUUCCAUCCCCACGGGCAGCAUCUGCUUCUCUGCCGGCUCCGUUCCUGGCCAAGCCCCAGCACAGUGUCCUAGCAGAGGGUCAGCAAAUCACAUGCACCGGGCAGCUGCUGGGAGCCUGUCAUAGCUUCAAGGCUUCACGUACUUAGAUAUCGACUCCCCUGUGACGUGAGUCUGUCAUUGCUCCCCAGUGCCUUGCUGGCAGGGUCUCCCAUUUUGAAAAUGAAAGUGAAAAAAAGAGGAAACUCUACAAUUUCCUUACUUCGAACUGUGCCCCGAGUACGUGUUCCACAAUAUUCCCCACACAGAGCAGGAGGCAGGUUCGUCCUCUGGUAUCUCACCCUACAGUCAAGGACGACUGAGGUUAAACACUUCAUUAUUAUUCUGUCAUUAGCACCAUGAUGCAAUUCCCAGCCCACCUACAGCUGCCAAAGUGGUGUCACUGAUCACUGAACUUGUUACAAGGAAUGACAAGCACUCGGAGCUCAGGCUACUCAACAGUCUUUGCGGCAAGAGUCCUUCCUGGUUUUAAUAUUGAAUUUCCCUGCCAUGUGUUUUCUGUAUCAUCAGAACAAGGAGCAGUGAUGCAAAUAUAGGUCUGAGAACCUGGAAACGUACUGUUUAUAACAUAUAACAUUUCCAUAUGUUAAGCACAUUUUAUCUCAGAAUUAAAGUGUCCCCAAACAUUAA